AUUGAACGCUGGCGGAAUGCUUUACACAUGCAAGUCGAACGGCAGCACGGGGGCAACCCUGGUGGCGAGUGGCGAACGGGUGAGUAACACAUCGGAACGUGCCCAGUCGUGGGGGAUAACGUAGCGAAAGCUACGCUAAUACCGCAUACGAUCUACGGAUGAAAGCGGGGAUCGCAAGACCUCGCGCGAUUGGAGCGGCCGAUGGCAGAUUAGGUAGUUGGUGGGGUAAAGGCUCACCAAGCCGACGAUCUGUAGCUGGUCUGAGAGGACGACCAGCCACACUGGGACUGAGACACGGCCCAGACUCCUACGGGAGGCAGCAGUGGGGAAUUUUGGACAAUGGGCGCAAGCCUGAUCCAGCCAUUCCGCGUGCAGGAUGAAGGCCUUGGUGUAACUAGCUUUGUUAAGUGAGGAAUAUGACGGUAACUUAU
This 431-nucleotide ribosomal RNA is filed under the name uncultured bacterium. RNAcentral's name for it is "bacterial SSU rRNA". It matches the Rfam family "Bacterial small subunit ribosomal RNA", at positions 30 to 483 of the family's 1533-position model. The record is from RNAcentral.